Long non-coding RNA from Trichechus manatus latirostris (Florida manatee), 4481 nucleotides. RefSeq lists it as uncharacterized. The record is from RefSeq and is a predicted model, not a curated record. Lineage: Eukaryota; Metazoa; Chordata; Mammalia; Sirenia; Trichechidae. The transcript is spliced from 3 exons.
GAGGCGGAAGCCCGGCUCCGGGCCAAGAUCCGAGAGCCGGGACUGGAGUUUUUGGGAAAUAAAGCCGUUGAAAAAGUGUGUAAGUCUUCAGGCUUUAAUUCAUGGUUGGAGGAAGUGCUUGUUGAGACAUAAUAAAAGUGCCUGCCUUCUGCAGCAAGUUUCUGGUUAUAUAUCUGAAAGUGAAAUAUGUGUCUGUGCAUUGGAAGAUCUAUUAAAACAGCAAUAACGAAGACUCUUUCUUCAUAUACACAGCUUACACAUUUUAUUCUCCUUAAUCAUCAGUUCGUAAUAAAUAAAGUAAUUUGGCAUAUUGAUUAUUUUGGUUCCACAUUUUCUGGUUAUCAAUUUUAUUUUUAUAUAGUCCAUUCUCUGGUAUCUGUAUACUCUAGUUAGAAAACCAUUCCCUGUCAUUGAUACAAUCUGGCGAAUUUGUUACAGCUGAGGGGUACAGCUUCUGCACAGGGAGGUACCAAAUAGAGUACUGUACGGAUCUUCUGCUGACCUACCACCCAGCUGCUACGCUGCCCGUGAAGCAGAGCAAGGCCCUCAGCAAGGUUGACUGAAGCAGUCAUCCCUGCUCUUAGCAUCACCUUUUUGUCCCUUUUCCUCUGCUGUGUUUAGGCAUUUUCUUUCAUAGUGACCAAGAGGACCUGGACCUCAAAGUGACUCAUCAGGGCAUCAGAGCAGCCAGAUAGGACUGCAGUCCUGUUAGUAGGGCCCUGUCCAUUCAGCUGAGUCUAAUCCCAUAAAUCUUAGCCCAUUUCCCAGCUUCUAGGCUUGCAGUUAUGGCUGUGAAAUACUUGUUCAGAUCAUUGUUGAUUUUUACAAUGGUUUUAAUACUAAACCAUCAUGGAUCAGAUGUAGAAAUGGGCUCUGCUGUAUAUACAGGGACUUCCCUUAGUUUUCCUGACAGGGAGGUAUCACAUUAAAUGAUAUGUGAACUUUUCUGUUACAGCGGAAUGAUAUGCCUCAUAAUUGCAAAUAGUGUAGAAAAUACACGGAUUACUCUUAGCCUUCGUGGUUAGUUUUAUUUGGUUUGAGAACCUAAGAAAAGGAAGAACGGUUGCAUAAAAAAUUUGGGUGGGGAUGGGGGAGGUUGACCAUUACCAGUGGAGUAGUGAGGGGUGAUCAUGGGAGCUGUCUGCUACGGUCAGAGGAAUGUCUUAGCAUUGAGGUUGUUUAGAAUUUCUAGAACAUAAUGAUAAUAAAAAGCAGACAGACUUUUAGUUGGUUUUAUUACUGUUUUUAAUUCUCUACAGGCAGUGCAUCCCCUUACUGCAUGCACCUGGGGCAAACCCUUCCCACCUCUCACAAGAAUGACCUGGCAGAGAGACUCUUGAAGUCAGAGAUUACAUGGUAAUAAGGAAUCAAGAAGAGGUUUGAGGGAGGGUUGAGAUGUGAAUAGAAGAACAAGUAUUGAAGUUUGUUUUAGUAUUGGUAUAGGUCAGAAUUGGAAUCGACUCGACAGCAACUAACAGCAACAACAUUUUCAAAAUUGAGAAGGUGAAGGCAUGGAGACUUGACGAGAACACUGUAGAUAGGAGAAGAACAAACACUAGAUACGAGUGAAUUCGAAUUGGGGGGCGGGGGGAAAGGCAGUUCUGAGGAGGUGAUGCAUAAUCAAGUUCUAGACUUUUCCACAAGAACUUUGUGACUGUAUAGAUAAUAGUAUCAGGGUUAACUCCCAAUAUUUUAAACCUAAGUAAUGGCUAUUUUGUAGUACGUAGUUGAAUGAAGUUGCAAAGAUAAAGAUAGUACAAGGAACACUUGGAUGCCCUUUAUCCAGAUCCAGUUUUUAAGAUUUUACCACAUUUGCUUUAUCACUUGAGAACAAGAAUACUUUUGGUUAAAGCAGAACACGUAUAUAAAGCAUACUCAGCUGAUCUGUCAGCUUUGUUUCUCUAAUAAAGUUAUGUAUUGGCUCUAAUUCACUGAAUCCUAGAGCUAGAAAGGACCUUGGAAGAUGAUCUGUUUAACCCCCUUGAAGAUGGUAAAUGUUGACCAGUCCAGAACAGGUGGGUUUUGAUUCUUAAACCUCCAUAGCCUCUUCCAGGGUCUUAUCCUAACAAGCAAGAAUAAAAACUCCUAAUGUCUGUUUGUUGCUUUUUAGUUUGUAUGUUUUCAUUUGAUCCUCAAAACAAGCAUGUAAAGGUUCUUCCUUAGCAUUCCCCCCACCCCUGCCUCUGAAAUCUUGCGUAUGUAGUCUUAUAUUCAUCUUGUAUCUUUUAAGUCCACUUCUUCUUAGUCUUUAUUCUCUGUUUAUAGAAAACAACCGAACAACAUCCCUUUCAGGAACACUUAACCUGUUCUGUAAUAAAUACCUUGUUAACUUUCCUCAGGUAAGACUAUCUUAAUUCCUUUAAGGUUUCUACCUGUAAUAUACUUUCUGUCUAGUCAGUUCACAAGGUGGUGCAAAUGGUUUGUGCUUGACUGCUAACCAAAAGGUUGGUGGUUCAAACCUACCCAGCAGCUCCAUGGAAGAAAGGCCUGGUGAUCUGCUUCCAUAAAGAUUACAGCCAAGAAUACCCUGUGGGGGUCAUUUCUAGUCUGAAACACACGGGCUUGCCAUGAGUUGGAAUCAGCUUGACAGUAAUGGGUUUGAUUUUUUUUUCCCUCCUUGGUUGAUCUUUCAAGAUUCUAGGUUUUUCACACCCUUUUCAAAGUGUGGCGAGCAAAGCUUGAAAGAGUGUGACUAAUGUAGAGUAACAACAUAGAAAAUUUAUGUGUAAAUUAUUUACAAAGUAUUUAUCUUGUGGUCAUUUGAUUCUUAGGGCAGAACAGGUGGUGUCUCCAUUUCAGAGAUGGGAAAAACUCCAGAAAGGUUAAGUGGUUUGCCCAGGGUCCUAUAGAGCUAGGCUGUGUCAGAACUGGGAUGCAACCUAGGUCUUCUAACAGUAAAUCAGUUCCCUUUUCCACUGUUCUCAUGUGUAGAUCUUUACAUAUCAUGUAUAUUUUAAUGUACUUUAGAAUCACUUUGACUUUUUCAGUCUCUGUCCUUUUUACCAACCAAACUUGCUAUUAGGGAAAUAAAAUGUUUGCUGACCCAACUUUUCUUUCUCUUCUGCACUUAAAAUAAUAGCAUUAUAGAAUUGGAAUGAACCUGUAGUGGCCACUUAAGCCAAUCUUCUACCGAAUUUGAGUACCUCACACACUAUCUCGUCCCACCGUCGUAUGGCCCUUGCAGGAAUACUUGCAGUAACAGGGCGUUCACUUCCUUUUUAUGCAACCUGGUUCUAGUUGUAUCAUCCAGAGCAACACAGAAUAUCUAUUCUCUCUUUGCUACGUAAAAUUUUGUCACAUAUUUAAAGAUAACUGUCUCUUCUCCAGGUUAAAGAAUGCUAAUACCCUGAUCUCGCACCAUCCUCAUCACCUUAUUUUGGAUGAAUUAAAUUGUGAGUAAGGAGCCCAACAGUUAAGUGCUGGGCUGCUAAUCAAAAGGUUGGCGGUUCAGACUCACAGAAGAAAGACCUGGCGCUCUGUUCCUAUAAAGAUUACAGCCUAGAAAACCCCAUGGGGCAGUUUUACUCUGUCACAUGGAGUCCCUAUGAGUCAGAAUUGACUUGACAGCACCUGGCAGCAGCAUGUUGUCAGUAUCCUGAGAAUCCGACUUCCAUAAUAGCCUGUAUGUUUUAGAUGUCUGGCCAAGGCAACAAAUAGUGGAGCUAUUACUUCCUGCAGGGUGGAUACCAUACUAUUCUAUUGUUGAAGUCCAAAAUUGUACUAGCAUGUAAGCAGAUACAUCAUGUUCUUAUAUGAAAGUUUUGGUAAGCCAAAGGUCUCAGAAUUCUGUAGGAACCAGACUAAUUUUCAUAGUCUGGCCCCCUCUACUUGUAUAACUGAUUUUUUAACUGAAAUGUGGAACUUCACAUUUACUCCUGUUAAAUUUUAAUUUGCCUGUGUUUUAGCAGCCCAGAAUUUCAGUUUGUGAAGAUCUAUUUUGGUCUUAAUUUUCUGACCCAUUUAUUAGCAGUCCUUUUCAGCUUUGUCUUCUACACAUCUAAUACUUAGACAAGCUUGUGUUGAAGCAGAGCUGGCUUUGGAUCGAUGAUAGCUAGGUAGCUAAUACUCCUUUUAGGGCUUAGAAGCAGAUCAUCUCUGGAUAAUUUUGUGUAAUAUUUUCUGCAGAGAAGUGUGACAAAGUGAUAGUUCUUUGGACCUGGCUAUGUCUUAUUCUCUGGGAGACACAAGAAUCUUUAGAGGUUAUUCUAAGACAUGUAUUGGUUUUUUUUGUUCCCCUAGCACUAAUUUUUACAUGCGUGUCUCUAAAGAAUGGAGAAGACAAAUCAUUGGAAUUACAGAUUCCAACAUACUUGCCUCUCCUGGCUCUCAAAAUGAAAUGUCACCACUUAAACCUAGAAUAGUUGAAAACUUGGUUUAAAAAUUUCCUGAGAUCUAAUAUUGCUUACAUUUAUAAUUUUGCUUUGGAGUUUAGUCUUUGAACAUAUAUGAUUUUUUGUUCUAUUUAUUUCGUUGUUGAAAAU